This 428-nucleotide ribosomal RNA is filed under the name uncultured prokaryote. RNAcentral's name for it is "bacterial SSU rRNA". It matches the Rfam family "Bacterial small subunit ribosomal RNA", at positions 355 to 774 of the family's 1533-position model. The record is from RNAcentral.
UCGAGAAUCAUUGUCAAUGCACGAAAGUGUGAACAUGCGACGCCGCGUGGAGGAAGACGGCCUUCGGGUUGUAAACUCCUGUCAGCAGGAAAGAAGGAUAGCAUUACUAAUAGCAAUGCUGUUUGACGGUACCUGCAGAGGAAGUCACGGCUAACUCUGUGCCAGCAGCCGCGGUAAUACAGAGGUGGCGAACGUUGUUCGGAUUUACUGGGCGUAAAGGGUCCGUAGGCGGCUUGGUGUGUCAAAUGUGAAAGCUCACAGCUCAACUGUGGAAUUGCAUUCGAAACUGCCGGGCUAGAGUACUGUAGGGGAGAAGGGAACACUUAGUGUAGCGGUGAAAUGCGUAGAUAUUAAGUGGAACACCGGUGGCGAAGGCGCUUCUCUGGACAGAUACUGACGCUCAUGGACGAAAGCUAGGGUAGUGAAAG